This 238-nucleotide ribosomal RNA is filed under the name uncultured bacterium. RNAcentral describes it as "partial 16S ribosomal RNA". It matches the Rfam family "Bacterial small subunit ribosomal RNA", at positions 15 to 248 of the family's 1533-position model. The record is from RNAcentral.
GAUCAUGGCUCAGGACGAACGCUGGCGGCGCGCCUAACACAUGCAAGUCGAACGAGAGAGAAGGAGCUUGCUUCUUCGAUCGAGUGGCGAACGGGUGAGUAACGCGUGAGGAACCUGGCUCAAAGAGGGGGACAACAGUUGGAAACGACUGCUAAUACCGCAUAAGCCCAUGGGUCGGCAUCGACCUGAGGGAAAAGGAGCAAUCCGCUUUGAGAUGGCCUCGCGUCCGAUUAGUUAG